This 426-nucleotide ribosomal RNA is filed under the name Sicyonis denisovi. Its description in RNAcentral is "Sicyonis sp. d ESB-2021 partial large subunit ribosomal RNA". It matches the Rfam family "Bacterial large subunit ribosomal RNA", at positions 1940 to 2465 of the family's 2925-position model. Lineage: Eukaryota; Metazoa; Cnidaria; Anthozoa; Actiniaria; Actinostolidae. The record is from RNAcentral.
CACUGACCGUGUAAAUGUAGCGUAAUCAAUAGCCAAUUAAUUGUUGGCCGGUAUGAAUGGCGUCACGAAGGCCCUACUGUCUUAAGAGGACUCUCCAUGAAAUUGAAUUCGUAGUGAAGAUGCUACGUCCAUAUUGUAAGACGAAAAGACCCCAUUGAGCUUUACUAAAAUCUUACACGGCUUAAUUAAAUAACAAGUUAAACGUGGGAUCACCACCCUUUUAUUUUAAAAAAGCUAACAUCGCAAGGAUAAUGUAAGUUGGAUAGUUUGGUUGGGGCGACCACCUUUUAAAAGGUAACGAAGGUGAGCUUAAGGUCGAUGGCCUGACUGCAAGGGGGACACCCCGAGCCGACACGUCGAGAGACGUGGGCUAUUGUGACCCGUCAUCUUAGCGUGGAAUAGUUGACGAUCAACGAAUAAAUGCUA